This 443-nucleotide ribosomal RNA is filed under the name uncultured bacterium. RNAcentral describes it as "partial 16S ribosomal RNA". It matches the Rfam family "Bacterial small subunit ribosomal RNA", at positions 338 to 795 of the family's 1533-position model. The record is from RNAcentral.
CCUACGGGAGGCAGCAGUGGGGAAUAUUGGUCAAUGGGCGCAAGCCUGACCCAGCAACGCCGCGUGCAGGAAGAAGGCUUUCGGGGUGUAAACUUCUUUUCUUAGGGACGAAGAAAGUGACGGUACCUCCGGAAUAAGCCACGGCUAACUACGUGCCAGCAGCCGCGGUAAUACGUAGGUGGCAAGCGUUAUCCGGAUGUAUUGGGUGUAAAGGGCGUGUAGGCGGGAAGGCAAGUCAGAUGUGAAAACUCAGGGCUCAACCCUGAUCAUGCAUUUGAAACUGUUUUUCUUGAGUUCUGGAGAGGCAAUCGGAAUUCCGUGUGUAGCGGUGAAAUGCGUAGAUAUACGGAGGAACACCAGUGGCGAAGGCGGAUUGCUGGACAGUAACUGACGCUGAGGCGCGAAAGCGUGGGGAGCAAACAUGAUUAGAUACCCGGGUAGUC